Molecule: ribosomal RNA, 253 nt
Filed under: uncultured bacterium
Lineage: Bacteria
Description: partial 16S ribosomal RNA
Rfam family: Bacterial small subunit ribosomal RNA
Source: RNAcentral
UACGGAGGGUGCAAGCGUUGUCCGGAUUUAUUGGGUUUAAAGGGUGCGUAGGCGGCUAUUUAAGUCAGUGGUGAAAUCCUGCAGCUCAACUGUAGAACAGCCAUUGAUACUGAAUAGCUUGAGUACAGACGAGGUAGGCGGAAUUUAUGGUGUAGCGGUGAAAUGCAUAGAUAUGACUUAGAACACCAAUUGCGAAGGCAGCUUGCUAAACAAAUAUUGACGCUGAGGCACGAAAGCGUGGGGAUCAAACAGG